Engraulis encrasicolus (European anchovy) is the source of this 1123-nucleotide long non-coding RNA. RefSeq lists it as uncharacterized. The transcript is spliced from 3 exons. The record is from RefSeq and is a predicted model, not a curated record. NCBI's taxonomy places the organism in Eukaryota, Metazoa, Chordata, Actinopteri, Clupeiformes, Engraulidae.
GUAUAUAAUGUAUAAUGUACUGGUUUGGCUAAUGAAGAUAGACCACAUAAUGUUUUCCAUAUUAGUUUUCAUAUUUCAUUUUCAUCAUCUGCUUUAAUUUUUGUAGACCUUGGGAAAGCCUGGGAUGGGCGAAUACGGCAGCUGCUGUCCGCCGUGGGUGGCUACCCACACACCAUGUCCUGGGACAUUACAGCCUGAGGAGGAAUAGAACGUGCAUGCAUUCCAGAACCUGACCCUUUGCAAAGUUAUAACAGAGACCUACACGCAGAACUUCUCUGUCCUGCAGGAAGCGAAUAUUGAGAAUAGCAUUGGGCAUACUCUGAAAUUUGGACUACACAGAUGGUCAGCUGGUCCUCAAGACUGAAAACACACACCAACAUUUUUAUUUUCUGUAUUUUAUUUAUUUAUAGUUUUUAUUUAUUUAUUUAUUUUACUUUGAGCCUUGAUGGCAUUUUAUGAUGAAAUUGUAAUAUAAUGUUGCACUGUUCUCACCCAUGUUGAAUUCCUGAUAUUUGUCAAUUAGGCAUUCCCUCAGCCUCAAGACUGGAAACACAUUAUAUGCACUCACAUCCAUUUUUGCCAUCUUCAUUCUUAUUUUGUGCAUUUUACAUUGUUUGCUUUUGUUGUUUGUUUGUUUUUUUUGCCUUGUUUGCAUUUUAUUAUGAAAAAACAUUGUAAUGUUGCACUGUUACCCUCUUACCUAUGUUGUAUUCCUGAUAUUUUCCUAUUAAACAUCAUCAUCCUUCAACAUUUGCCUUGUCAUUUCAAAUGCAUUCAACACUUUAAUAAUGAAUUAGGCCUACAAACUACAGAAAUAUGACAACAUUAUGGGCAUUUCCCAUUAUGUUGUCAUAUGUCUGCAGCUUGUAGGCCUAAUGGGAAAUAGCCUGUGCAAGAAGGUUACUAUAAUGUUGUAGGGGAACCUUUUGAAAACCAACAUGAACACGAAUAAAGGAACGGUGAAAAAACGUAGAUGAACCGACCGGGAACCAUACAAAAAAACGUUCUGGGAACAAAAAAAAAACUUUCCUGUUAACCAAAUUAUAACCAUAACAGACCCAAAAAACAACGUAAAAUAACCGGAAAAAAAACCAACGCCUCAUGUUCCGGGAACAUUCUCGGA